RNAcentral lists this ribosomal RNA (463 nucleotides) under uncultured bacterium. RNAcentral describes it as "partial 16S ribosomal RNA". It matches the Rfam family "Bacterial small subunit ribosomal RNA", at positions 29 to 505 of the family's 1533-position model. The record is from RNAcentral.
UACGCACGCUGGCGGCGUGCUUAACACAUGCAAGUCGAACGGAAAGGCCCUGCUUGCAGGGUACUCGAGUGGCGAACGGGUGAGUAACACGUGGGUGAUCUGCCCUGCACUUCGGGAUAAGCCUGGGAAACUGGGUCUAAUACCGGAUAGGAGCCAUUUUUAGUGUGAUGGUUGGAAAGUUUUUUCGGUGUAGGAUGAGCUCGCGGCCUACCAGCUUGUUGGUGGGGUAAUGGCCUACCAAGGCGGCGACGGGUAGCCGGCCUGAGAGGGUGGACGGCCACAUUGGGACUGAGAUACGGCCCAGACUCCUACGGGAGGCAGCAGUGGGGAAUAUUGCACAAUGGGCGCAAGCCUGAUGCAGCGACGCCGCGUGGGGGAUGACGGCCUUCGUGUUGUAAACUCCUUUCGCUAGGGACGAAGCUUUUUGUGACGGUACCUAGAUAAGAAGCACCGGCUAACUACG